GACGAACGCUGGCGGCGUGCCUAAUACAUGCAAGUCGAACGAGAGCGACCGGUGCUUGCACUGGUCAAUCUAGUGGCGAACGGGUGAGUAACACGUGGGUAACCUGCCCAUCAGAGGGGGAUAACAUUCGGAAACGGAUGCUAAAACCGCAUAGGUUCUACAGUCGCAUGACUGAAGAAGGAAAAGAGGCUUCGGCUUCUGCUGAUGGAUGGACCCGCGGUGCAUUAGCUAGUUGGUGAGGUAACGGCUCACCAAGGCCGUGAUGCAUAGCCGACCUGAGAGGGUGAUCGGCCACAUUGGGACUGAGACACGGCCCAAACUCCUACGGGAGGCAGCAGUGGGGAAUAUUGCACAAUGGGCGCAAGCCUGAUGCAGCGACGCCGCGUGGGGGAUGACGGCCUUCGGGUUGUAAACUCCUUUCGCUAGGGACGAUGCUUUUUGUGACGGUACCUAGAUAAGAAGCACCGGCUAACUACGUGCCAGCAGCCGCGGUAAUACGUAGGGUGCGAGCGUUGUCCGGAAUUACUGGGCGUAAAGGGCUCGUAGGUGGUUUGUCGCGUCGUCUGUGAAAUUCCGGGGCUUAACUCCGGGCGUGCAGGCGAUACGGGCAUAACUUGAGUACUGUAGGGGUAACUGGAAUUCCUGGUGUAGCGGUGAAAUGCGCAGAUAUCAGGAGGAACACCGAUGGCGAAGGCAGGUUACUGGGCAGUUACUGACGCUGAGGAGCGAAAGCAUGGGUAGCGAACAGGAUUAGAUACCCUGGUAGUCCAUGCCGUAAACGGUGGCGCUAGGUGUGAGGGUCUUUUCACGACUUUCGUGCCGUAGCUAACGCAUUAAGCGCCCCGCCUGGGGAGUACGGCCGCAAGGCUAAAACUCAAAGGAAUUGACGGGGGCCCGCACAAGCGGCGGAGCAUGUGGAUUAAUUCGAUGCAACGCGAAGAACCUUACCUGGGCUUGACAUACACCGGAUCGGGCUAGAGAUAGUCUUUCCCUUUGUGGCUGGUGUACAGGUGGUGCAUGGUUGUCGUCAGCUCGUGUCGUGAGAUGUUGGGUUAAGUCCCGCAACGAGCGCAACCCUUGUCUUAUGUUGCCAGCAUUUGGUUGGGGACUCAUGAGAGACUGCCGGGGUCAACUCGGAGGAAGGUGGGGAUGACGUCAAAUCAUCAUGCCCCUUAUGUCCAGGGCUUCACACAUGCUACAAUGGUCGGUACAACGCGCAGCGACACUGUGAGGUGGAGCGAAUCGCUGAAAGCCGGCCUUAGUUCGGAUUGGGGUCUGCAACUCGACCCCAUGAAGUCGGAGUCGCUAGUAAUCGCAGAUCAGCAAUGCUGCGGUGAAUACGUUCCCGGGCCU
RNAcentral lists this ribosomal RNA (1353 nucleotides) under uncultured bacterium. RNAcentral describes it as "bacterial SSU rRNA". It matches the Rfam family "Bacterial small subunit ribosomal RNA", at positions 28 to 1381 of the family's 1533-position model. The record is from RNAcentral.